This 502-nucleotide ribosomal RNA is filed under the name uncultured bacterium. RNAcentral's name for it is "partial 16S ribosomal RNA". It matches the Rfam family "Bacterial small subunit ribosomal RNA", at positions 28 to 523 of the family's 1533-position model. The record is from RNAcentral.
GAUGAACGCUAGCGGCAGGCCUAACACAUGCAAGUCGAGGGGCAGCACAGAAACAGCAAUGUUUUGGUGGCGACCGGCGGACGGGUGCAUAACGCGUAUGCAACCUACCUUUAACAGGGGGAUAACGGAGAGAAAUUUCCACUAAUACCCCAUAACAUCGAUCAAGGCAUCUUGAUUGGUUGAAAACUCCGGUGGUUAAAGAUGGGCAUGCGUUGUAUUAGGUAGUGGGGGAGGUAAUGGCUCACCAAGCCGACGAUACAUAGGGGGACUGAGAGGUUAGCCCCCCACACUGGUACUGAGACACGGACCAGACUCCUACGGGAGGCUGCAGUGAGGAAUAUUGGUCAAUGGGGGCAACCCUGAACCAGCCAUGCCGCGUGCAGGAAGACGGCUCUAUGAGUUGUAAACUGCUUUUAAACAGGGAUAAAGCACAGUAUGUAUGCUGUGUUGAAGGUACUGUAAGAAUAAGGAUCGGCUAACUCCGUGCCAGCCGCCGCCGUAA